Molecule: long non-coding RNA, 828 nt
Filed under: Salmo salar (Atlantic salmon)
Lineage: Eukaryota; Metazoa; Chordata; Actinopteri; Salmoniformes; Salmonidae
Description: lncRNA (ENSSSAG00000087011.1)
Source: RNAcentral
GCAACAUACACUUGAAACAAAUAGCCAAACCGAAAACUGCAGACAAAAAUGCUUUCUGCCACUAAGAUCAGUGAAAUGUACGCUAAACUGACAAAGGAGUGGAGAGCAGAAACGACAACUAGCAAUCAAGUCGCAGCAAUGAAGAACGCGAAGGGGGGGAUUCUGGCAGAGGGGAGAUUUUCAGCACAACACCUGUGCCGAAGCAAAUGCUACGUACGUUUUACAGGUCAUCAACGGGAGCCAUGCUUUUACUCUUCGGUUUGCUCAGCGCGUGAUGAGGAGAGUCACUAAAAGAGAGACAACCGGCAGAAUUGUGUCCAGACUUGUCUUCCACCUACACCUCACCAGAACACAACGCAGAAAGUUAAAGUUUCCCGAUGCAGAUAUGGUCAGACCAAGUUAUGAGUAAUUUUUAGUGUCUUCAAUUAUGGUGUUGUUCAGGGUGAAUUUCUAUUUGUUUCUUUUUUUAAAUUUACUGCCAGGGCCCAAUUAUGGAAAUUUGCUCUAGAAUGUUAAGGUUCUGUUGAAGACCAUUGGUUGGUGAUAGAAUAACCAAAUCCUCAGCAUAUAGCAGGUAUUUUACCUCCGUGUCAAAUAGUGAGUCCUGGGGCUGGAGAAGGUUCUAACAUGUCUGCUAAUUCAUUGAUAUAAAUGUUGAAAAGAUUUGGACUCAAACUGCAGCCUUGUCUCUCACCUUGACGUUGUGAAAAUAAUUAUGUUCUUUGGUUUUUGAUUAAAAUGCAAAUCAAUUUAUAACAUUUUUGACAUGCGUUUUUCUGGAUUUGUUUGUUGUUAUUCUGUCUCUCACUGUUCAAAUAAACCUACCAU